UUAUUUGUGCGCUGCAGAAGAAAAGAUAAAUCCUAUGGAGAAAGGCAAUGAAAACUUCAGACAAGAUCACAGAGAUAAGGACAUUUCAAUGCCUGAAAUCCGAAAUGUUAAAAGCAAUCGUUUUUCUCUUGGUAAAAGCACAGACGUGAAAGCUGAACACUGAGAAAAAGCAAGAGAUUUGGAAGAAUAAACUGAAGCUGAACUCGGA
Long non-coding RNA from Pantherophis guttatus, 208 nucleotides. RefSeq lists it as uncharacterized. Lineage: Eukaryota; Metazoa; Chordata; Lepidosauria; Squamata; Colubridae. The record is from RefSeq and is a predicted model, not a curated record.